Molecule: ribosomal RNA, 253 nt
Filed under: uncultured bacterium
Lineage: Bacteria
Description: partial 16S ribosomal RNA
Rfam family: Bacterial small subunit ribosomal RNA
Source: RNAcentral
UACGUAGGAGGCAAGCGUUGUCCGGAAUUACUGGGCGUAAAGCGCGUGCAGGUGGUGGGACAAGUCUGCUGUGAAAGCGCCUGGCUUAACCGGGCGAGGUCGGCGGAAACUGUCCGACUCGAGGACGGUAGAGGGGGGUGGAAUUCCCGGUGUAGUGGUGAAAUGCGUAGAUAUCUGGAGGAAUACCGGUGGCGAAGGCGGCAUCCUGGACCGAGAUUGACGCUGAGGAGCGAAAGCUAGGGGAGCAAACGGG